UGGGGAAUAUUGCACAAUGGGGGAAACCCUGAUGCAGCAACGCCGCGUGAGUGAAGAAGUCAUUCGUGAUGUAAAGCUCUAUCAGCAGGGAAGAAAAUGACGGUACCUGAGUAAGAAGCCCCGGCUAACUACGUGCCAGCAGCCGCGGUAAUACGUAGGGGGCAAGCGUUAUCCGGAUUUACUGGGUGUAAAGGGAGCGUAGACGGCCAGACAAGUCUGAAGUGAAAAUCCAGCGCUUAACGUUGGAAGUGCUUUGGAAACUGCCGGGCUAGAGUGCAGGAGGGGCAGGCGGAAUUCCUAGUGUAGCGGUGAAAUGCGUAGAUAUUAGGAGGAACACCAGUGGCGAAGGCGGCCUGCUGGACUGCAACUGACGUUGAGGCUCGAAGGCGUGGGGAGCAAACAGG
This 404-nucleotide ribosomal RNA is filed under the name uncultured bacterium. RNAcentral's name for it is "bacterial SSU rRNA". It matches the Rfam family "Bacterial small subunit ribosomal RNA", at positions 355 to 776 of the family's 1533-position model. The record is from RNAcentral.